This 2746-nucleotide long non-coding RNA is filed under the name Gossypium barbadense (sea-island cotton). RNAcentral describes it as "long non-coding RNA (GBAR_LNC011006)". The record is from RNAcentral. Lineage: Eukaryota; Viridiplantae; Streptophyta; Magnoliopsida; Malvales; Malvaceae.
UUGGGUUAGCUUUAAUCUUUAUUAUUACAAGUACUUAAGUCAAAUAAGAAAAACAUAACGAAGCUGUCCUGGUUUGGACAACAAAAUCCUCAUUCUCACAGCAACAAUUAACCAUUUAAACAUAAUUAAUGUGUCCUAAUUCGGACAACCAAUGUUACAUAUUUUACAGCAGUAUUUUAACACGUCAUAAACUGAUUUUAAACACCCAUGUAAUCUUCUUAGAGAUUAUUUGACCCGAAUCCCGUUACUUGUUAAAGAAAUAAAUACGGUCUAUAUCGUAUAAGUUAAAUCUAUAUAGAACUAUACUUCUUCUAUUUAACUUUGAUUAGAACAAAGUUAUUCGAUUAUUAAAUAUUAGAUGUGUUCUUAUUUUCUUUUUUUAUUGCUUUGUAAUUGUUUUAUCGCUAUUAUCGGUAUUUAUUAUAACAAAUACAAACCGAAAAGCAUGCAAGUAAAUGUUUAGACCUCAAUCUAUAAUGUACCAUGGCAACAGCCGAAUAUCCAAAUGUAAGCUUAAGUCAACCAAAUAUCCCUAAGUAUAAUUUCAGCCGAAAACAACAAUAAUAAAACAUCAUAAAAUAUAAAAAUUUAAAGUUUGGAGUUGAAGAACUCACAGAAAAUUUUCUCCCAAAGCCGAACCCCUUCUUUUUUGCUACUGUCCUCUUCACCUCCUUUAGCGAAAUGCUUCCAAAUCGAGGAUUUCUUCCCCCAUGCAGCCGCUGUUUACAACCUUUCCUCCCUAUUCCAAUGGCUAAACUAAACAAGAAGAAGAUGAAGCUCUCACCCCUCUUUCCUUUUUUUUUUUUUUUUCUUUCUCACCGUCCCAUCCCUUUUUCCCAAGAAAAACCAUUUUUAAUUAAAAUUAGAUGAUAACAGUGGGAACAAUCAUUGACCAGUUUCCCAUGUUUGCAACUGGCCACCCAACCAAAAGCCAUGCACACCCUAAAUCCAUUAGUUAACAUACAAAAUAUUACGCAUAAUGAUUAACAUUAGGUUCCGCAUUCGGUCAAAUCAAGUCGAAUCGAGUUGAAAAAAUUUUAGGUAAUUAAGUUGAUGAAUCAUAUUUUAACAAUAGAACUUAAUUUAAAAAUUUUUCGAAUCAAAUCGAGUCGAGUUAACGAACUUUAUUAUUUAUACUCAAUGUUGCGUUUAUAUGGAUCGAUUAUUUAACUAGUAGACGAAGUAUAAGAUUAUUUAACUAUAUAAAUAAUAUAAUUGUUUUGCCUUUUAACUUAAUCAGUAAACAUUUAUCAAAACGACGUAGUUUUGCCUUUUAACUUAAUAGUUUUGACUUUUAAAUUUAGAAAAGCCAAACAUUUAUCAAAAUGACGUUGUUUUGUUUUUUCUUAUUUAGAUUUUAGGAUAACUCGAAUUGUGUAAUUUAUAUUCGAGUUAAACUGAAAAUUUUAAUUUUUUAUUCAAGUUGAUUUAAAUUAGUCGAACUAUUUAACUCAAAAUUUAACUUUUUUAUCAAAUUUUUCGAAUCAAAUAAGAUUUUGCUCACUCAUAAUUAACACCACCAUCAUCUAACUAUCUAAUUUCAUUUGAAAGAAACAUUUGUAAAGCUUAACAUGUAGAUAACCCGCGCUACUAGUACAACUACCAAACCAAAGUUCCUCCUCAAAGGUCAUGAAUUAAAAUGAAAUGAAAUACAAUUAUUUUUCAGUAAAAUUACUUAUUAAAAAUUCAAUUCACCUAUAUAAUAACUUUCAAUAAAUAUUUAAUAAUAAUAAUUACAAGUUCGGUUUUUUAAAACAAAGUGUCGAUACCUCACUUUCCGAUAUUAUUGACUUUAAGGUCAAUAUACUUGUACAUUAAUUAAUUACCAAUUCAAUAAAAACCUCUAAUCUAAAUUUCUAUCUAAUUAAAAAUAAACUCGUAAAUAUUAAAUAAUAAUAUUUACGAACUCACUCAUCAAAAAUAAGGUUUUGAAACCACAAUUUUCUGGCACUACUGAAAAUCGGGCUGUUACAAAAAUUUUCAUAUUUCAUAAUCAUAUAUUUAGUUACUACAUCAAUAUGUCAGAUUCCACUACUCAAACUCGUAGAAUUCAAAAAUUUACAAAUUUUACAAUUUGAUCCUUACUUCAAUUUUUAUCAAAUUAAUCACUUAACAAUUUAUUUUUCAACUUACUCAUCCAAUUAAUAUUCAAAAUAAAUAUUUACCACUUUCAGCAUAAUAAACUCAUAAACCCAUCAUUCAAGAUAAUUAAUUCAAAAUUAAAAUAUUCUUAGUAAAAACACUCGCACUUUCUCGCUUUCAGUUAUUCACUUAAAAUCAUUCGCCAAAUUUUUCUUAAAAUAAUUCAUUAUUCACAUCAUACAUAAACACAAUAUUUCCAUAAGUUUAAGUAUAGAGAAUAAUUAUUUACGCCAAAUUCUUGCAAUUUCACAACAAAUUAUACAAUUAAAUAAAUAUAACAUAAUAAUUUAAACAAUUUACCCUCGUUUUCUCGCACUUCCAUCUUCAUCUUCAAGCCUCCAUGAUUGGUUUCAUAUGAGAAGACACUCUCGAAUUAGACUUUGGUGUGAAAUCCCACUUUAAUUUCAUAAAAAUUUUAAAGAUUUUAGGUUAAAGAUGAAAAAAAAAGGCCAAAUUGAAUAAAAUGAAAAACUUCUUUUUUAUUUUGAAGAAAACCAUGACAAAACCUCCCAAAAUUUAGCCAAAGGACCUAUUUAUAAUGAUGGGAGAAUCCUUUUUUUGUAGAUAUUUCCUUUCUUUUAUUUCCUUUAUUUGUUUAUUUUGC